Molecule: long non-coding RNA, 360 nt
Filed under: Malus domestica (apple)
Lineage: Eukaryota; Viridiplantae; Streptophyta; Magnoliopsida; Rosales; Rosaceae
Description: long non-coding RNA (MDOM_LNC004702)
Source: RNAcentral
UGUAGAGAACGUGUCUGUAAAAAAAUUUGUUCAAUUUUUCUACUUAAUUCCGAGUUUUACUAGUUUAAUUUUGUUCAAAAAUUUGAGCUCUAGCUGCUCUAAGUUCAAUCUUUAGUUAUUUAAGUAAGUAGAAAAAAAAUGUGUAAAGUGGACGUAUCAUUGUGCUUGUCAAAUGUAUAUGCUUCCUUGAACUGAAAGUAAUUGUUGUUUACUUAUGCAAAUCAUGGAGUUGGAUUGUAUUUACAUUUUGUAAUAGUGCAUACAAUGUUGGCAAAAGUACAAACCUUAUAAGGAAUACCAAAUAUGAAAUAUGAUAAGAAUUUGGUUAACUUAGUUUUGUUAUUUUAGGUUCAAUUUGUU